ACGGGAGGCAGCAGUGGGGAAUAUUGGGCAAUGGGCGCAAGCCUGACCCAGCAACGCCGCGUGAAGGAUGAAGGUCUUCGGAUUGUAAACUUCUUUGAUUGGGGAAGAAUAAAUGACCUACCCAAAGAGCAAGCCACGGCUAACUACGUGCCAGCAGCCGCGGUAAUACGUAGGUGGCAAGCGUUAUCCGGAUUUACUGGGUGUAAAGGGCGUGUAGGCGGCUUUGCAAGUCAGAUGUGAAAUUCCUGAGCUCAACGCGGGCGCUGCAUCUGAAGCUGUAAAGCUUGAGUACUGGAGGGGAAAGCGGAAUUCCUAGUGUAGCGGUAAAAUGCAUAGAUAUUAGGAGGAACACCGGUAGCGAAGGCGGCUUUCUGGACAGUAACUGACGCUGAGGCGCGAAAGCGUGGGGAGCAAACAGGAUUAGAUACCCUGGUA
RNAcentral lists this ribosomal RNA (435 nucleotides) under uncultured Saccharofermentans sp. RNAcentral describes it as "partial 16S ribosomal RNA". It matches the Rfam family "Bacterial small subunit ribosomal RNA", at positions 341 to 792 of the family's 1533-position model. The record is from RNAcentral. Lineage: Bacteria; Bacillati; Bacillota; Clostridia; Eubacteriales; Oscillospiraceae.